This 2535-nucleotide long non-coding RNA is filed under the name Orbicella faveolata. RNAcentral's name for it is "uncharacterized LOC110065316". The record is from RNAcentral. Lineage: Eukaryota; Metazoa; Cnidaria; Anthozoa; Scleractinia; Merulinidae.
AUGCAAACAAUCCGGCCCCUCCAAACCAUAGUAUUGUCCUUAUUAUUGUCCUAACAGCUAAGGAGAAAGACGACCAGUCUUGGGGAAAGUGUACACAAAAAUCCAAUAUGGCGGCUUGUGUAUGGGCUUACCAGCCAAGCUUCUCGAAGUGAGCCGAUUACUUCUUCAUGUAAGCCUUGUGACAAAAGCCUCAACCCAACUUAGGAAGUAAGACUUGCAUAAGAUGUCUUAGAUAAAAGUUCGAGGGGAAAGAUAGAAAGGUACAUAGGCCCUGGAUUAAAAAAUGUGUAAAAAAAAUAAAUAAAUACACGGAAAUAUGAAAUAGCGUAACUGGUAGAAUUUUCAGGCCACACUUCGUAUUUUCUUUGUUGCAAAGAUGGAGGGCACGAGCAUCUCGUUUUCACGGCAGGGUGCAUUACCUGAAACAUCUUCUUAAACCUAAACUAGCAACAUGUGUGGCUAAUGCCCCAUCGGUAUUCCAAACAAAUGCACAUCACUUGAACUAGCACCAGCAGGUCACCUGCCCUAGUUUAUUUUGAAAGCAGUCAUUUUUAAAAUGGUCCAUGGUCCAAUCUACAACUUUUUCUUCUUCCUCUUUGUGGAGUGAUAUUAACAUUCCUGUGCGUCAAAAGCUCAGCUAACGAUUCUGAUAGUUUUCCUAUUGUGAUCAACACGUGGUCUGGAAGCUAUAAAGGAGCCACAGACAAAGGUGAUAUAACGACUGAUUUAAAUUUACACAUUAGUUUGUUUGAUUCGGCUGAAUCAAGUGACAACAGAGGAAAUAAUGACGCCUCUAACAUUACAUUUAUUUAAAAACAUCCGUCGACAGCUCGGACUUCUGACAAGUUGUGACAUUGCGUGGUGACAAUAUUUCUGAUAGGUGCGUCAUUACCGCAAUACGCGAAUAUUAAAGUGAUAUUGUAAAAUUAUUUGAUAGUACACGAAAGGAAUAGAUCCAUUGAAAAGGUAUCAUUCAGGUCACAUGAUCAUGGAUGUUCUAAAACCUCCAGUAUAGAAUGUACACUCUGUAAUUUUAUAUGGAAUAUUAAGCAAUUUUUGAUGAUACAGGAUGGCACCAGUAGAUUACAUCACUUUUUUGUAAAAAGCAAAUGUUCGUUUCCCAAGUGAAGCUCGAUACAAUAUUUGCGUCUGAUCUUUAUUAGCAUCCACAAAGGCGAGCCCGGUUUCAGCUCGCCACUGUAAACGCCCUGUACAUGAAGAUUGGCCCUGCCAAUACUGUGUCAAUUCUGUUAGUUAAAAGUUACCACAGGAAUUACAUUUUAUGACAACUGUUAUUGCAUUAACGAAGGGUAAAACAAUACAAAACGUUAUUGAAAUUCAUGGCAGUUCACACCUGUUUAAAGUUUGAUAGGCUCAGUCGGUUAUCUCUAGCAAAAAUUGUUUAACUUUCACAAUUUGAAGCAUUUCAUUCUUUUUUUGAUUUCGUCGUUUCCAGUGUACACCAAAAGCUCUGGUAACUAUUCUGAUUUCUUUCCUGGUGUGAUCAACACAUGGGCUGGAAACCAUGAAGUGGCCACAGGCAAAGGUGAUGAAGUGACCGCCGUUUAUUCUGCUUGCCUGAGUGUGAAAUUAUUCAUAAGCUUGUGAUAUUAGGAAAUUAUUAUACCCGCUUUAAGUUAUCUAUAUUUAAGAGUGUUUAAGAAGUGGCUUGCAAAUUGAAAUAAGUGCAACAUGUCCCAUCCGGCCAGUGCAAGGGACUUUUAACAAACCUUUCUGAGGCAUCUCACAUUUAUUCACUUAGUUAACAUUUUAUUUUCAUUCAUUUUGUAUGUUAUUUUACGUUAAUUAAUGUAAGAAAUCAAUAUGGCUUUUCAAGAAAAAGAUCAAAACCCACUUUUCUUCUUUGGGCUCCCACACGGCAGUCAUGUAAACCCGCUUUUCGGUAUCGUAGUAGUCGAUUUUAUCGACUUAUAUUUUAGUAUGUUUUUUUAUACUCUGUAACUGAAUUAAUACACAGAGUAUGCUAUGCACCCAAAAUCUAACAGUAUCGUUUAGUCUAUGUUACGAGACAGAAUCAGUUUGCUUUCAUAUUUCAAACCUAUUAUGUUUUAGUCUUUUAAGUAAGUCAACUUGAUAUAACUUGCACAACGUUUUCCAAAGGUUUAUCAAUGCUUCCACGCCGAUCUUUCGCAUGUAUCUACCACUGGGAAGCUAUAGAAACGCUUGUGAUGUAUUCGGCCCUUCGUGUACAAACUGUGCGACUCAAAUACUGAUAUCUGAUUAUACUGUGGCUCAUGCUAUGGCUAUUACAUGUAUCUGCUUUCUUGCUUAGAAAUUAUAAUUUAUAUCUUUCCUACCUAUCACUGUGUUGAACAUUAGCAUGGGAAGUACUCGCAAAGGGAGGACCAUCUCUAGAUGCCAUAGAGGAAGGAGUUACAGCGUGUGAGCUGAACCAGUGCGGCACUCACAGAGUGACUGUGGGCUAUGGUGGAAGGUAUUGUACACGUCCUAAUGAAGCUGGAAAGACAACAUUAGAUGCUUUAAUAAUUGAUGGUGCAACACACGCUGCUGGGG